AUAGUUUUAGUACUGAAUGAACGGAAGGUGGAAAUCGAUGUGUGGAAUUAAGAAAAUGAACGAUUGAGCUUGGAAAUUUUUUGUACUAUACACAGAGUUGUAUAACUGUAAGACUUUAAUUUCUAAUGCGAAACACUUCGUCGUUAAUCACUAAUAAUAAUAAAGAUCUGCCUUGGACCUGGAUUCACUGAUUGACAAUAAACCACAUUUUAUUGUAGGAAAGAAAGCUCUUGAUGCCCCAAAAUAGAAGGCUGUGUUGGUAAAUUGGGUAAUAGCUUAGCCUUUUCCUUCCGUUGUACUUGAUUCAUACUGUACAAACCUCAUGUGGUUGAAGAGUGCCAUUUGCAACCUGGAUUUGUGUGAUGUUGUUGUAUUUUUCACAAUAAAUAACCAAGUUCUCCUUUGUU
This is a long non-coding RNA of Limulus polyphemus (Atlantic horseshoe crab), 407 nucleotides long. RefSeq lists it as uncharacterized. Lineage: Eukaryota; Metazoa; Arthropoda; Merostomata; Xiphosura; Limulidae. The transcript is spliced from 2 exons. The record is from RefSeq and is a predicted model, not a curated record.